This 422-nucleotide ribosomal RNA is filed under the name uncultured bacterium. RNAcentral's name for it is "bacterial SSU rRNA". It matches the Rfam family "Bacterial small subunit ribosomal RNA", at positions 355 to 774 of the family's 1533-position model. The record is from RNAcentral.
UGAGGAAUAUUGGGCAAUGCCCGCAAGGGUGACCCAGCAACGCCGCGUGGAGGAUGAAUGUCGUAAGAUUGUAAACUCCUGUUAGAGGGGAAGAAUAGUACCGGUUGGACCGGUAUAUGACUGUACCCUCAGAGAAAGCCCCGGCUAACUACGUGCCAGCAGCCGCGGUAAUACGUAGGGGGCAAGCGUUGUCCGGAUUUACUGGGUGUAAAGGGCGCGCAGGCGGGAUAAAAAGUCAGUGGUGAAAUCCUACAGCUUAACUGUAGAACUGCCUUUGAUACUUUUAUGCUUGAGUUCGGGAGAGAGAGACGGAAUUCCAGGUGUAGUGGUGAAAUACGUAGAUAUCUGGAAGAACACCAGUUGCGAAGGCGGUCUCUUGAUCCGACACUGACGCUGAGGCGCGAAAGCGUGGGGAGCAAACA